ACAAAAUUCUAUUUAAAAAAAAUAUAUUUAUAUUGAAAAAGUUCUUUCAUGUUAUGACUGGCAUGCCAUUGAAUUUCGUGUGUGCAUAUUUAAAUUAUUUAAUCAAGACAUGCAUGCAUAUAUAUACUACAUUCAAACUGCUUUGGUAAUUGGAAAUGCAAAUGUGUAAUAUUAUUUAUUAGUGACGUGCGCGUAUUUUCGUUAGUGUACACCGUUUGUUGUUUGAUAUAAAACUAUUUUGAUGCAUUAACAAGACUUGGAAGCUGGUGCAAGCGAACAGCCUUUUAAUGCAGAUUUCAUUACUAAAAGUCAUCAGCAACAAUUUGGACUUGGUCUUAAAUUGCAAGCAACUUCAAUUUUGGGAACAACAUACGAGUCACAUUAUGAUUUUGGCAGAUAAGUAACUGCAAAAAAACUGAAGGAAGCCUUCGCUUUUGGAAUUUUUGACACGAAGAUAUGUUUUGUGAAUAUAAGACAACACUUCGUAGAUAGCUUAGAUGCUAUCAUAUUGUAUUAGAAGCUUGGAACAACAGCUACCAGCUCAUUGGAUUUUCCAGACACAACCUUUUAAUAACUUUUGCUGGCAAACAAACUCUUCGAACGUUUCACUCUAUUUACAAUAGCUGUCAUCGAUUGGUCACUUCUCUGCUCGCUAUCUUUGGGCGCUGUUCGCCUAUCAAAAAUUUUACAUGUGAAAGCAACAACAAAGUUAUCUAGUUGAAUUCGUGCAGGAGAGUAUGCGAAUACCUCAUUAAAAUUUCAAUCGCCGCUUGCUGAGUGCUACCAAGUUUUGUUUUACACAUUUUAGAACCAUUUUACUAUUGUGAACGGCUCAAAGGACAAAUCAUUGUCAAAAUAAUAAAAAUUGUUAUACACAAAUUUGAAAUUGAAAAUGGCAAGCGAAGAUAAAUCGUCAGUAUUUUUGUAUUAAAUUUAAUGAAUAAAAAUUAAAUUUGUUGCAAAAAACGUAAGACAUGGACGGUGGUAGAAGAGUUCAGUGCGACCUAGUAUAGACAAUUCGAUUUCAGUGCUGACAGUUAGUAUGAAAAUUUGGAAAGUUUGUUCGAUUGGCUUGUCUAUAGCAGUUAGCCAAUCGAUGACAGCUAAUGUUUCGGAGUGUCGCAUAGUCUAUAAAAGAAUACGCUACAAGGAGUAUGACAACAACCAACACCCAUGUCACGACAAUUAUUUUGUUCAUGUUUUAUGCACGUUUCCGUAACCGAGUAGAUGAUGAAAUGAUUUGCCAUUAUUAAUAUGAUACAUAUUUUUCUUUAAUGAAUUAAUGCUGUAGGUGGCGUAAUUGUAAUUAGUAAUGCUUGUAGUAGUAAUACAGCAUAACGAAACGAUAAUUAGUUUGUGUUAAUGUUUAUGUACGGCGGCGACAUUUGUAUAUUAAAAAAAAAUGUAUGCGGGGGUUUAUUACUUUAUAUUACAUUUAUGUAGUAAAUGAACUUUUUUCCUCAUAUGAUUUUCAAUUAUUUACUUUAUAUGGCAUGCUAUAAGAGAACAAACAAAAAAAAACAA
This is a long non-coding RNA of Zeugodacus cucurbitae (melon fly), 1524 nucleotides long. RefSeq lists it as uncharacterized. The record is from RefSeq and is a predicted model, not a curated record. The transcript is spliced from 3 exons. Lineage: Eukaryota; Metazoa; Arthropoda; Insecta; Diptera; Tephritidae.